GCUAGUUUAGUAUAAAUUUAGUGCGUGGAAUUGUAGCUUCUAAAGUAAUUUAUUGAUUAACUAGAA
This 66-nucleotide transfer RNA is filed under the name Cichlidarus nyanzae. RNAcentral's name for it is "tRNA-Tyr". Lineage: Eukaryota; Metazoa; Platyhelminthes; Monogenea; Gyrodactylidea; Gyrodactylidae. The record is from RNAcentral.